GCAGUCAGAGGCGAUGAAGGACGUGCUAAUCUGCGAUAAGCGUCGGUAAGGUGAUAUGAACCGUUAUAACCGGCGAUUUCCGAAUGGGGAAACCCAGUGUGAUUCGUCACACUAUCAUUAACUGAAUCCAUAGGUUAAUGAGGCGAACCGGGGGAACUGAAACAUCUAAGUACCCCGAGGAAAAGAAAUCAACCGAGAUUCCCCCAGUAGCGGCGAGCGAACGGGGAGCAGCCCAGAGCCUGAAUCAGUGUGUGUGUUAGUGGAAGCGUCUGGAAAGGCGCGCGAUACAGGGUGACAGCCCCGUACACAAAAAUGCACAUGCUGUGAGCUCGAUGAGUAGGGCGGGACACGUGGUAUCCUGUCUGAAUAUGGGGGGACCAUCCUCCAAGGCUAAAUACUCCUGACUGACCGAUAGUGAACCAGUACCGUGAGGGAAAGGCGAAAAGAACCCCGGCGAGGGGAGUGAAAAAGAACCUGAAACCGUGUACGUACAAGCAGUGGGAGCCUCUUUAUGGGGUGACUGCGUACCUUUUGUAUAAUGGGUCAGCGACUUAUAUUCUGUAGCAAGGUUAACCGAAUAGGGGAGCCGAAGGGAAACCGAGUCUUAACUGGGCGUUAAGUUGCAGGGUAUAGACCCGAAACCCGGUGAUCUAGCCAUGGGCAGGUUGAAGGUUGGGUAACACUAACUGGAGGACCGAACCGACUAAUGUUGAAAAAUUAGCGGAUGACUUGUGGCUGGGGGUGAAAGGCCAAUCAAACCGGGAGAUAGCUGGUUCUCCCCGAAAGCUAUUUAGGUAGCGCCUCGUGAAUUCAUCUCCGGGGGUAGAGCACUGUUUCGGCAAGGGGGUCAUCCCGACUUACCAACCCGAUGCAAACUGCGAAUACCGGAGAAUGUUAUCACGGGAGACACACGGCGGGUGCUAACGUCCGUCGUGAAGAGGGAAACAACCCAGACCGCCAGCUAAGGUCCCAAAGUCAUGGUUAAGUGGGAAACGAUGUGGGAAGGCCCAGACAGCCAGGAUGUUGGCUUAGAAGCAGCCAUCAUUUAAAGAAAGCGUAAUAGCUCACUGGUCGAGUCGGCCUGCGCGGAAGAUGUAACGGGGCUAAACCAUG
Molecule: ribosomal RNA, 1113 nt
Filed under: Escherichia coli
Lineage: Bacteria; Pseudomonadati; Pseudomonadota; Gammaproteobacteria; Enterobacterales; Enterobacteriaceae
Description: partial 23S ribosomal RNA
Rfam family: Bacterial large subunit ribosomal RNA
Source: RNAcentral